This 960-nucleotide unclassified non-coding RNA is filed under the name Hevea brasiliensis (rubber tree). Lineage: Eukaryota; Viridiplantae; Streptophyta; Magnoliopsida; Malpighiales; Euphorbiaceae. The record is from RNAcentral.
AUCUCUUCCAAACCCAUAAUUUGAUCUCAAAUGUGAGGUUUGUUGAUCCUGUGUGACGCCCAAAUGAGAUGUCUCAUUAUCUCGUGAGACUCUCCUUCCAAAUUCAACUCGAGAAUAUUCAGAACCCAAAUAUUCCCCACUAUGCUUUGGUGCAUAUAAUAUUCUACUUGAGUUAAGGUCCUCCAUGGCGGCCUGCUUGCCUACAGUAUGGUCCCAUGUGGUGUUAUUUCUUCUGUUUCUGUAAAAAUCCUGCGUUGGAUCAAUGUUUUCUUCAAUGGGGUGCAUAACACUCAUUCUUGACAAUUCUCCAUACUCAAAAUCUGCUCGAGCUACGUCAUGAUCCAACUGAGCACGUGGUGGCAUCAUUCUAUGCAAUUCAUCAGAUGGAUAGACCACAUCUUCAUUCACUAAUCCCUGUGAUUUAGGGUAAAGGUAAUCAUCAUGUUCUUUUCUGUUUGGGCUAUACGCACCAUGCGGAAAACUUGUCAUAAUUCUCUUACCAGUUUCCACAUUUCUUAAAUCUACGGCUGACCUUUGACCAUAUGUGCUUAAAUCCAAGGGUUCGUUUCAUGCUGUUCCUUGGAUAUUCAUCAGAAGCAGACAGGGGCACACAAUCCCUGAAAGAACUCAGAAACUCACUCCUUGAAACACCUGAAGAUGUGCCAGCAAAAUCUUUGGAUUGAGAGCUACCAAAACCCUUAAAGCGAGGAGAUGGGUUCAUGGUGUAUGAAUCCUCCCUUGAGCAAAACACAGGGUUUUCCCCUUUGUAUAAUUCCAUUACUGGUAUCUUAUCUGGAGAUAUAGGCUCCCUAUACCUAAGUUUCUCAUUCUCAAACUGGCUGAUAUCCAUGUGGCGGUAGAUGCUCACUAGUUUUCCCAUAACUUGGGGGAGGAAUGAAAUCUGGAGGUGCUCGACGCAACCCUCUUAUAAUUCCAUCUUCCAUGGGCAUCGAGUUUUGC